UACGUAGGGUGCGAGCGUUAAUCGGAAUUACUGGGCGUAAAGGGCUCGUAGGCGGCCAACUAAGUCGGACGUGAAAUCCCUCAGCUUAACUGGGGAACUGCGUCCGAUACUGGAUGGCUUGGAUUCGGGAGAGGGAUGCGGAAUUCCAGGUGUAGCGGUGAAAUGCGUAGAUAUUGGGAAGAACACCGAUGGCGAAGGCAGCCAUCUGGACCGACACUGACGCUGAGGCGCGAAAGCGUGGGGAGCAAACAGG
Molecule: ribosomal RNA, 253 nt
Filed under: uncultured bacterium
Lineage: Bacteria
Description: partial 16S ribosomal RNA
Rfam family: Bacterial small subunit ribosomal RNA
Source: RNAcentral